AGAUUGAGCAAUUACGGGGGCGCAGCAAUGCGUCAAUGAGGAAAGUCCGAGCAUCACACAGCAGGGUAACGGCUAACGGCCGCCGAGGGCGACCUCCGGGAAAGUGCAUAGAGAUAUACCGCCGUAUUUAUACGGUAAGGGUGGAAAGGCGAGGUAAGAGCUCACCGGAAUAUUGGUAACAAUAUUGCCAAGUAAACCCUACCCGAUGCAACAUCGACCGAAGUUGUCAGCUGGGCAGAUACUUCGACGGAUGGCUUGAGCGUAUCGGCAACGGUACGAGUAGAUAGAUAAUUGCUUUCAAUGACAGAACUCGGCUUACAGGUUUACUCA
This 330-nucleotide RNase P RNA is filed under the name pig gut metagenome. RNAcentral's name for it is "Bacterial RNase P class A". It matches the Rfam family "Bacterial RNase P class A". Rfam says of the family: Ribonuclease P (RNase P) is a ubiquitous endoribonuclease, found in archaea, bacteria and eukarya as well as chloroplasts and mitochondria. Its best characterised activity is the generation of mature 5'-ends of tRNAs by cleaving the 5'-leader elements of precursor-tRNAs. Cellular RNase Ps are ribonucleoproteins. The record is from RNAcentral.